This 1021-nucleotide ribosomal RNA is filed under the name uncultured archaeon. RNAcentral's name for it is "bacterial SSU rRNA". It matches the Rfam family "Archaeal small subunit ribosomal RNA", at positions 1 to 1015 of the family's 1478-position model. The record is from RNAcentral.
UUCUGGUUGAUCCUNGGGGGAGCCCUUUUAGCUUUUGGGAUUCGAUUAAGCCAUGCNAGUCGAACGGGUUUAUACUCGUGGCGUACGGCUCAGUAACACGUGGAUAACCUACCCCUAGGACUGGGAUAACCCUGGGAAACUGGGGAUAUUACUGGAUAGGCAAUUAUUCCUGUAAUGGUUUUUUGUUUAAAUGUUUUUUCGCCUAAGGAUGGGUCUGCGGCCGAUUAGGUAGUUGGUUAGGUAAUGGGCUUACCAAGCCUUUUAUCGGUACGGGUUGUGAGAGCAAGAGCCCGGAGAUGGAACCUGAGACAAGUUUCCAGGCCCUACGGGGUGCAGCAGGCGCGAAACCUCCGCAAUGUGAGAAAUCGCGACGGGGGGAUCCCAAGUGCCAUUCUUAACGGGAUGGCUUUUCAUUAGUGUAAAGAGCUUUUGGAAUAAGAGCUGGGCAAGACCGGUGCCAGCCGCCGCGGUAACACCGGCAGCUCUAGUGGUAGCAGUUUUUAUUGGGCCUAACGCGUCCGUAGCCGGUUUAAUAAGUCUCUGGUGAAAUCCCGCGGCUUAACUGUGGUAAUUGCUGGAGAUACUAUUAGACUUGAGAUCGGGAGAGGUUAGAGGUACUCCCAGGGUAGAGGUGAAAUUCUGUAAUCCUGGGAGGACCGCCUGUUGCGAAGGCGUCUGACUGGAACGAUUCUGACGGUGAAGGGACGAAAGCUAGGGUCGCGAACCGGAUUAGAUACCCGGGUAGUCCUAGCUGUAAACGAUGCGGACUUGGUGUUGGGGUGGCUUUGGAGCUGUCCCAGUGCCGAAGGGAAGCUGUUAAGUCCUUCGCCUGGGAUGUACGGUCGCAAGACUGAAACUUAAAGGAAUUGGCCGGGGAGCACCACAACGCGUGGAGCCUGCGGUUUAAUUGGAUUUAACGCCGGACAUCUCAUCCAGAGGCUACAGCUGUAUGAUAGCCAGGUUGAUGAGGUUAUGCUUGACUAGUUUAGAGGAAGGUGCAUGGCCGCCGUCAGCUCGUACC